GAGGAAUAUUGGUCAAUGGAGGAAACUCUGAACCAGCCAUCCCGCGUGAAGGAUGAAUGCCCUAGUGGUUGUAAACUUCUUUUAUAUAGGAAUAAACCUGAGUACGUGUACUCAGCUGAAGGUACUAUAUGAAUAAGCAUCGGCUAACUCCGUGCCAGCAGCCGCGGUAAUACGGAGGAUGCAAGCGUUAUCCGGAUUUAUUGGGUUUAAAGGGUCCGCAGGCGGACCAAUAAGUCAGUGGUGAAAGCCCACAGCUCAACUGUGGAAUUGCCAUUGAUACUGUUGGUCUUGAGUGUGGUUGAAGUGGGCGGAAUAUGACAUGUAGCGGUGAAAUGCAUAGAGAUGUCAUA
RNAcentral lists this ribosomal RNA (350 nucleotides) under uncultured bacterium. RNAcentral describes it as "bacterial SSU rRNA". It matches the Rfam family "Bacterial small subunit ribosomal RNA", at positions 356 to 703 of the family's 1533-position model. The record is from RNAcentral.